Molecule: ribosomal RNA, 305 nt
Filed under: uncultured bacterium
Lineage: Bacteria
Description: partial 16S ribosomal RNA
Rfam family: Bacterial small subunit ribosomal RNA
Source: RNAcentral
CCUACGGGGGGCAGCAGUGGGGAAUAUUGGACAAUGGGGGGAACCCUGAUCCAGCGACGCCGCGUGAGUGAAGAAGUAUUUCGGUAUGUAAAGCUCUAUCAGCAGGGAAGAAAGAAAUGACGGUACCUGACUAAGAAGCCCCGGCUAACUACGUGCCAGCAGCCGCGGUAAUACGUAGGGGGCAAGCGUUAUCCGGAUUUACUGGGUGUAAAGGGAGCGUAGACGGCGAUGCAAGUCUGAAGUGAAAGGCGGGGGCCCAACCCCCGGACUGCUUUGGAAACUGUAUAGCUGGAGUGCAGGAGAGG